CAGAGUGACGAGGGGGGAGGGACGCACUGAGACGCACACAGAGUGACGAGGGAGGAAGCUUAGACAGAGGAGGGGGGGCAGCAGCAUGAACCGAACCAAAGGCUAAAGGAGCGAGCAGCCAACACAACUUGGGCUUGUGGGCAGCUUGGUGACCGGAUUGUAGCCAUGUCCAAUAAUAACAGGACAAGCAGCGAGUCCACUACCCCCCCAGGUACCGGGAGAGGCUUCAAGGCAGCGAAGGGGAGAGACCCCUCCUGUGCUGAAAGGAGAGGAGCCAACACUUCAACCUGGCCCCCCGACACUUGCCUGGUGGAGGCGGUUUGCACGCUGCUCUGCCAGCUCCACGAGAUGACUCACAAGGGGGGGAAUGAGGGACUCUUUAUCGUUUGUAUCACAGGGUUUUAUUUAAGUUAUUAAAGUCCUUGUUCUACAUUUGCUUUUGGAAACUCUUUCAUUUCACUCACAAUCACAAUCACACAAUUCUCUUGAACUAUUCUAACUGACCAGCAUUUAACCGUCUUAGACAACUGGCAUCUGAGGAGGCCUUGACCUACUGACCUUCUACUUCAUCUUAUGACUACUCCUACUUGGCCUGAGGCGGGACUCGAACCGCAGAUCUUCUGCAUCACAUUGCACAUCUGGCACCACUGGCCCCUCCCCUACCUGUUGAUCCCCCUUUUGCCCCCCUGCUUCUACAGAGAGGCUCCUGCGUUGUGGGGGCACCUUCUUCUCUGUUUCAAUGUUUCAAUUUCCAGGAGCCAAUCGGAGAGCUCAGAUCGCUGGUUCAAUUUCCAACAACCUAUCACGCUCUCCAAGUUUCGGGCAUCCAAUCGGAUGCUCCAUUUGUUUCAAUUCGACUUCUCGAGCCGCCAUCUUGGAUCCUCGCUACCGAGCGCUCAAUGUUUUAAAACUACCCGGCAGAUAUAACGACGUAAGUACAACAAUGUCAACUCUAUUCUCUUUUAGUGCCAUAGUGGUAAUGAAUCGGUGUUUAAUUUGAGUGUAAGUGGGGGUACUAAUACUAAAUAAAUGUGGCAGGUCGCCCACAAUAAAUCUGCUAUCGGAUCUGCGUAAUAGAUGCUUGCUACGGCCGUGACGUCACUAUUAUUAUCAUCAGUAAGUUUUAUUUAAUUCGGUGAAUGAAACCCGGUCUAAAAACGCGUAUUGGAGCUAACAGACUCGUCUCUGCGUGUUUCGGCUCGUUUAUUGAUGACGGCGUUUACGUGACAGGCAGCGCUUUAGCAUCGGUGCUGCGUCACACGUUUACUAUAGCAGUUAUUACCAAGUUAUACUUUAUUACAACGUGUUUUAAACAGUCCAGUAGAAUUGUGACGUUCGCCAUUCAUGUGGACUAAUAAUUAAACAAAGUGUGCAUAUAUCUAUAGACAGACACAAGCUGGGCUCUGAUAGAAAGGUUUUAAUGAGAAGAGGAAAUGCAGGAAUACAACUGAUGUCACAAAUGAGAGGGUCACGUGUCACGUCUUCUUCUGUCUGCCGUAUUCUGCCAAUAAUGUCCUUUUGUUUAGGCUCACCUUCGUCCUCGCUGACUACCAGGCCAUCAGAGGCUGAUGUCUCAGACGGAGAUCCAGCUCUUUGAGGUGAACCGGAGGACGCUGCCCCAGUGGUUCUCUGGACGCCAGAGGGGGGGGGGGGCUGCUGCCAUCCCUGCAGGUGUUGCAGCCGCUCCUCUUGUUCCCCUCAAAGGGCUGUCCUUUGUUCAGGUGGGACGAGGACAGCCCGGAUGAGCAGCCUGGACCCUCAUCCAGUGGCCUUCCUCCUGCUCCUCCUGGGUGUCCUCCCUGGUCCUACAGGUCAGCCUCCUCCUCCUCCACCUCCCAAGGUGUCCAGGACCACUGCCUGGAGGAAGACAGCCAAGAAACCCCAUCAGCAGAGCUGUGCUGCUGUGGAGCAGUCCUGAGGACGCAAAAGGGACUUUUUAUCGUUUGUAUUUGUUAUAGUUAUUUAAGUUAUUAAAGUCCAUUUUCUACACCUG
Pungitius pungitius (ninespine stickleback) is the source of this 1993-nucleotide long non-coding RNA. RefSeq lists it as uncharacterized. NCBI's taxonomy places the organism in Eukaryota, Metazoa, Chordata, Actinopteri, Perciformes, Gasterosteidae. The transcript is spliced from 3 exons. The record is from RefSeq and is a predicted model, not a curated record.